CAUCAGUGAAAUACUACCCGUCGGUGACUGCGACUCUCACUCCGGGAGGAGGACACCGGUAGCCGGGCAGUUUGACUGGGGCGGUACGCGCUCGAAAAGAUAUCGAGCGCGCCCUAAGGCUAUCUCAGCCGGGACAGAGACCCGGCGAAGAGUGCAAGAGCAAAAGAUAGCUUGACAGUGUUCUUCCCAACGAGGAACGCUGACGCGAAAGCGUGGUCUAGCGAACCAAUUAGCCUGCUUGAUGCGGGCAAUUGAUGACAGAAAAGCUACCCUAGGGAUAACAGAGUCGUCACUCGCAAGAGCACAUAUCGACCGAGUGGCUUGCUACCUCGAUGUCGGUUCCCUCCAUCCUGCCCGUGCAGAAGCGGGCAAGGGUGAGGUUGUUCGCCUAUUAAAGGAGGUCGUGAGCUGGGUUUAGACCGUCGUGAGACAGGUCGGCUGCUAUCUAUUGGGUGUGUAAUGGUGUCUGACGGGAACGAUCGUAUAGUACGAGAGGAACUACGAUUGGCCGCCACUGGUGUACCGGUCGUUCGAGAGAGCGC
RNAcentral lists this ribosomal RNA (542 nucleotides) under Haloarcula sp. S1AR25-4. RNAcentral's name for it is "partial 23S ribosomal RNA". It matches the Rfam family "Archaeal large subunit ribosomal RNA", at positions 2264 to 2806 of the family's 2987-position model. Lineage: Archaea; Methanobacteriati; Methanobacteriota; Halobacteria; Halobacteriales; Haloarculaceae. The record is from RNAcentral.